UGGGGAAUUUUGGACAAUGGGCGAAAGCCUGAUCCAGCAAUGCCGCGUGUGUGAAGAAGGCCUUCGGGUUGUAAAGCACUUUUGUCCGGAAAGAAAUCCUUGGCUCUAAUACAGUCGGGGGAUGACGGUACCGGAAGAAUAAGCACCGGCUAACUACGUGCCAGCAGCCGCGGUAAUACGUAGGGUGCAAGCGUUAAUCGGAAUUACUGGGCGUAAAGCGUGCGCAGGCGGUUUGCUAAGACCGAUGUGAAAUCCCCGGGCUCAACCUGGGAACUGCAUUGGUGACUGGCAGGCUAGAGUAUGGCAGAGGGGGGUAGAAUUCCACGUGUAGCAGUGAAAUGCGUAGAGAUGUGGAGGAAUACCGAUGGCGAAGGCAGCCCCCUGGGCCAAAUACUGACGCUCAUGCACGAAAAGCGUGGGGAGCAAAACAGGAUUAGAUACCCUGGUAGUCCACGCCCUAAAACGAUGUCAACUAGUUGUUGGGGACUUCAUUUCCUUAGUAACGUAGCUAACGCGUGAAGUUGACCGCCUGGGGAGUACGGUCGCAAAGAUUAAAAACUUAAAUGAAUUGACGGGGUCAUAGCUGUUUCCU
RNAcentral lists this ribosomal RNA (592 nucleotides) under uncultured bacterium. RNAcentral describes it as "partial 16S ribosomal RNA". It matches the Rfam family "Bacterial small subunit ribosomal RNA", at positions 355 to 1375 of the family's 1533-position model. The record is from RNAcentral.